Molecule: long non-coding RNA, 784 nt
Filed under: Equus caballus (horse)
Lineage: Eukaryota; Metazoa; Chordata; Mammalia; Perissodactyla; Equidae
Description: lncRNA (ENSECAG00000029279.3)
Source: RNAcentral
CAUUUUCAAAAGAUGAUUACUUCAGUGUGCCCAGGCCUGCAGGACAUAAGUACAUGGGCAGGAGUGGUAAGAGCUAUAAUUGUUCUUAAUGGGAAAAUAUGCAGGUUGUUUCCAAUAUUUGCCUGUUAAAACCAAACGGCAGAGAACAUCUUUCUGCAUGUCUCCAUGGGCGUUUAUAUGAGAUUCUUUCCUGAGAUAUAUCUGCUAGAAGUGGAGUCUGUGGAUCAUCAGGUGUAUAACAGGCUCCUGCAGCCUUCUCUUCCAGUCCUACUUCUAGUCAUCUUACUCAUCUCUCCUUGGCAAAGAGGGAACUUCAAAUGCCCCACAGACUUGGAACAAACCCCAAAGCUCGUCACCCAGCACACAAAUGCAACCAUUUCUGGAUUCAUUCCUCCCAGGAUGGAAAGAAGUGUCUAAGAAAUGACAUCUUGAAGACAGGGGACUCCAGAAUCCGUCGAGACCCACCCAGGUACUCCAAGCCACUGCUGCUUCACAGAUCCCAGGAAAACAACUCCGUUUUUAGAAAUUGUUCAAUCACUCAAAUAGCAUUGAAUAAGCACCUAAUGGGCGUUUGGUACCAGGUGAACACAAAAGAAAAGUCAGCUGUUCUUCUUCAUCCUAAGAGCUUAUGAGUUUAUGGUUGAUUUUCAAGACAAACCCACAAACAUGUCCUUUCUUGACCCAGAAAGAAAAACAAUAGUAAUAUCUUGAUGUUGAGCAGUCCUUACCUCUGCAGACCCUGCGUUGCCAGCCCUGUGCUUCCACUGUUCAUGGCAUCCUCUAG